This 103-nucleotide ribosomal RNA is filed under the name Bdellovibrionales bacterium. Lineage: Bacteria; Pseudomonadati; Bdellovibrionota; Bdellovibrionia; Bdellovibrionales. The record is from RNAcentral.
CGAUAAGGCCACACCUGUUCCCAUCCCGAACACAGAAGUUAAGUCCGUCAGCGGCAAUGGUACUACAGGGCUGACCCUGUGGGAGAGUAGCACGAUGCCGGCU